CAAUAGCGUAUAUUAAAGUUGUUGCAGUUAAAAAGCUCGUAGUUGGAUUUCGGAUGGGACUUGCCGGUCCGUCGUUUCGAUGUGCACUGGCCAGUCCUAUCUUGUUGUCGGGGACUAGCUCCUGGGCUUCACUGUCCGGGACUAGGAGCUGACGAGGUUACUUUGAGUAAAUUAGAGUGUUCAAAGCAAGCCUACGCUCUGAAUACAUUAGCAUGGAAUAACACGAUAGGACUCUGGCUUAUCUUGUUGGUCUGUGAGACCAGAGUAAUGAUUAAGAGGGACAGUCGGGGGCAUUCGUAUUUCAUUGUCAGAGGUGAAAUUCUUGGAUUUAUGAAAGACGAACUUCUGCGAAAGCAUUUGUCAAGGAUGUUUUCAUUG
This 378-nucleotide ribosomal RNA is filed under the name uncultured eukaryote. RNAcentral's name for it is "partial 18S ribosomal RNA". It matches the Rfam family "Eukaryotic small subunit ribosomal RNA", at positions 592 to 975 of the family's 1831-position model. The record is from RNAcentral.